UACAGAGGUCUCAAGCGUUGUUCGGAUUCAUUGGGCGUAAAGGGUGCGUAGGCGGCGCGGUAAGUCGGGUGUGAAAUCUCGGGGCUUAACUCCGAAACUGCAUUCGAUACUGCCGUGCUUGAGGACUGGAGAGGAGACUGGAAUUUACGGUGUAGCGGUGAAAUGCGUAGAUAUCAUGAGGAAUACCAGAGGCGAAGGCGGCUACCUGGACAAUUGCUGACGCUCAGGCACGAAAGCGUGGGGAGCAAAAGGG
RNAcentral lists this ribosomal RNA (253 nucleotides) under uncultured bacterium. Its description in RNAcentral is "partial 16S ribosomal RNA". It matches the Rfam family "Bacterial small subunit ribosomal RNA", at positions 524 to 776 of the family's 1533-position model. The record is from RNAcentral.